UGAGGCCUUAGUUUAGUAAAAGCGGUUGAANUGCANNCAGUUGAUGUAGAUUAGAGUUUUACAGGUCU
RNAcentral lists this transfer RNA (68 nucleotides) under Pachydactylus latirostris. RNAcentral's name for it is "Pachydactylus mariquensis latirostris tRNA-Ala". The record is from RNAcentral. Lineage: Eukaryota; Metazoa; Chordata; Lepidosauria; Squamata; Gekkonidae.